Molecule: ribosomal RNA, 349 nt
Filed under: uncultured bacterium
Lineage: Bacteria
Description: bacterial SSU rRNA
Rfam family: Bacterial small subunit ribosomal RNA
Source: RNAcentral
GGGGGAUAGCUUGCUAUCCUGCCGGCGAGCGGCGGACGGGUGAGUAAUGCAUGGGGAGCUGCCCAAUCGAGGGGGAUAACAACUGGAAACGGUUGCUAAUACCGCAUACGCCCUGCGGGGGAAAGGUGGGGACCUUCGGGCCUACCGCGAUUGGAUGCACCCAUGUGGGAUUAGCUAGUUGGUGAGGUAACGGCUCACCAAGGCGAUGAUCUCUAGCUGGUCUGAGAGGAUGACCAGCCACACUGGAACUGAGACACGGUCCAGACUCCUACGGGAGGCAGCAGUGGGGAAUAUUGCACAAUGGGGGAAACCCUGAUGCAGCCAUGCCGCGUGUGUGAAGAAGGCCUUC